AUACGUAGGGGGCGAACGUUGUCCGGAAUGAUUGGGCGUAAAGGGCGCGUAGGCGGCCCGGUAAGUCUGGAGUGAAAGUCCUGUUUUUAAGAUGGGAAUUGCUUUGGAUACUGUCGGGCUUGAGUGCAGGAGAGGUAAGUGGAAUUCCCAGUGUAGCGGUGAAAUGCGUAGAGAUUGGGAGGAACACCAGUGGCGAAGGCGACUUACUGGACUGUAACUGACGCUGAGGCGCGAAAGUGUGGGGAGCAAGCAGGAUUAGAUACCCUGGUAGUCCACACUGUAAACGAUGAAUGCUAGGUGUAGGGGGUAUCGACCCCUGCUGUGCCGCAGUCAACACAAUAAGCAUUCCGCCUGGGGAGUACGGCCGCAAGGUUGAAACUCAAAUGAAUUGACGGGG
RNAcentral lists this ribosomal RNA (397 nucleotides) under uncultured bacterium. RNAcentral describes it as "partial 16S ribosomal RNA". It matches the Rfam family "Bacterial small subunit ribosomal RNA", at positions 523 to 918 of the family's 1533-position model. The record is from RNAcentral.